UCUCCUUCUCUAGAUCACGACCCUCUCCAUCUCUGUCUCCCUCUCUUGAUCUCCCUCUUCCUAUCCACCUCUCAAUCUACAAACCUUACACCACAUCCACUAGCCGCUAAAACCCUGUCGCAUCUCCAGUCAUCAACAGCAAUAGAUUGUUGUUGAGCUCCCACCUGUUGCCAAUUUAAAGAGGCGACGGCCAUCACUACAAGGUGCUCCUAGGAGCAUUCUAGCAUUGGCAUUGGUUUUCCAGGGGAAUAUUGGUUGAGCAUAUUAGAAAGGGAAGUUAUGGCAACAAGCAGUGCCUGGCAAGCCAUGGCUUCAUGUUGGGACAGGGUGAAAACUUCAGGGUUGAAGUCGAGGCAGUUUACCAUGGCUUGCAUCUGAUUCAUUGUAGCACUUUCAUCUUUUUGGGUUGGUGAAAAAGCUAAUUGUGGACUUGUUCUAUUUUCCAUUUCUUCAGUAGGGAGAAGAGUUGUAAUGGGUGAGAUCAUUUCAGGAAUCAUCUGAAAAAAUUGAGUGGAAAUAUUUUGGGAAUCAGUGUUGCAAAUAACUAAAUGCCAUACACCUGGCUGUAAUACAACCCUCCCUUUCCCAGCAGCAUGUCACACAUGCAA
Long non-coding RNA from Magnolia sinica, 608 nucleotides. RefSeq lists it as uncharacterized. The transcript is spliced from 2 exons. The record is from RefSeq and is a predicted model, not a curated record. NCBI's taxonomy places the organism in Eukaryota, Viridiplantae, Streptophyta, Magnoliopsida, Magnoliales, Magnoliaceae.